RNAcentral lists this ribosomal RNA (272 nucleotides) under Escherichia coli. Its description in RNAcentral is "partial 16S ribosomal RNA". It matches the Rfam family "Bacterial small subunit ribosomal RNA", at positions 1 to 269 of the family's 1533-position model. The record is from RNAcentral. Lineage: Bacteria; Pseudomonadati; Pseudomonadota; Gammaproteobacteria; Enterobacterales; Enterobacteriaceae.
AAAUUGAAGAGUUUGAUCAUGGCUCAGAUUGAACGCUGGCGGCAGGCCUAACACAUGCAAGUCGAACGGUAACAGGAAUCAGCUUGCUGAUUCGCUGACGAGUGGCGGACGGGUGAGUAAUGUCUGGGAAACUGCCUGAUGGAGGGGGAUAACUACUGGAAACGGUAGCUAAUACCGCAUAACGUCGCAAGACCAAAGAGGGGGACCUUCGGGCCUCUUGCCAUCAGAUGUGCCCAGAUGGGAUUAGCUAGUAGGUGGGGUAACGGCUCACC